GACGAACGCUGGCGGCGUGCUUAACACAUGCAAGUCGAACGGAAAGGCCCUGCUUUUGUGGGGUGCUCGAGUGGCGAACGGGUGAGUAACACGUGAGUAACCUGCCCUUGACUUUGGGAUAACUUCAGGAAACUGGGGCUAAUACCGGAUAGGAGCUCCUGCUGCAUGGUGGGGGUUGGAAAGUUUCGGCGGCUGGGGGUGGACUCGCGGCUUAUCAGCUUGUUGGUGGGGUAGUGGCUUACCAAGGCUUUGACGGGUAGCCGGCCUGAGAGGGUGACCGGCCACAUUGGGACUGAGAUACGGCCCAGACUCCUACGGGAGGCAGCAGUGGGGAAUAUUGCACAAUGGGCGGAAGCCUGAUGCAGCAACGCCGCGUGCGGGAUGACGGCCUUCGGGUUGUAAACCGCUUUCGCCUGUGACGAAGCGUGAGUGACGGUAAUGGGUAAAGAAGCACCGGCUAACUACGUG
This 468-nucleotide ribosomal RNA is filed under the name uncultured bacterium. RNAcentral describes it as "partial 16S ribosomal RNA". It matches the Rfam family "Bacterial small subunit ribosomal RNA", at positions 28 to 507 of the family's 1533-position model. The record is from RNAcentral.